RNAcentral lists this transfer RNA (72 nucleotides) under Acidobacteria bacterium RIFCSPHIGHO2_01_FULL_67_28. Its description in RNAcentral is "tRNA-Val". It matches the Rfam family "tRNA". Rfam says of the family: Transfer RNA (tRNA) molecules are approximately 80 nucleotides in length. Their secondary structure includes four short double-helical elements and three loops (D, anti-codon, and T loops). Further hydrogen bonds mediate the characteristic L-shaped molecular structure. tRNAs have two regions of fundamental functional importance: the anti-codon, which is responsible for specific mRNA codon recognition, and the 3' end, to which the tRNAs corresponding amino acid is attached (by aminoacyl-tRNA synthetases). tRNAs cope with the degeneracy of the genetic code in two manners: having more than one tRNA (with a specific anti-codon) for a particular amino acid; and 'wobble' base-pairing, i.e. permitting non-standard base-pairing at the 3rd anti-codon position. Lineage: Bacteria; Pseudomonadati; Acidobacteriota. The record is from RNAcentral.
GGGCGCUUAGCUCAGCGGUGGAGCGCUCCCCUCACACGGGAGAGGCCGAAGGUUCGAAUCCUUCAGCGCCCA